RNAcentral lists this ribosomal RNA (648 nucleotides) under Trichoderma sp. DAOM 229901. RNAcentral describes it as "eukaryotic LSU rRNA". The stretch from base 261 to 414 matches the Rfam family "5.8S ribosomal RNA". The record is from RNAcentral. Lineage: Eukaryota; Fungi; Ascomycota; Sordariomycetes; Hypocreales; Hypocreaceae.
UGGAAGUAAAAGUCGUAACAAGGUCUCCGUUGGUGAACCAGCGGAGGGAUCAUUACCGAGUUUACAACUCCCAAACCCAAUGUGAACGUUACCAAACUGUUGCCUCGGCGGGAUCUCUGCCCCGGGCGCGUCGCAGCCCCGGACCAAGGCGCCCGCCGGAGGACCAACCCAAAACUCUUAUUGCAUACCCCCUCGCGGGUUUUUUUCUACUAUCUGAGCCUUCUCGGCGCCCCCUCGUGGGCGUUUCGAAAAUAAAUCAAAACUUUCAACAACGGAUCUCUUGGUUCUGGCAUCGAUGAAGAACGCAGCGAAAUGCGAUAAGUAAUGUGAAUUGCAGAAUUCAGUGAAUCAUCGAAUCUUUGAACGCACAUUGCGCCCGCCAGUAUUCUGGCGGGCAUGCCUGUCCGAGCGUCAUUUCAACCCUCGAACCCCUCCGGGGGGUCGGCGUUGGGGAUCGGCCCUCCCUCGCGGUGGGCCGUCUCCGAAAUGCAGUGGCGGUCUCGCCGCAGCCUCUCCUGCGCAGUAGUUUGCACACUCGCACCGGGAGCGCGGCGCGUCCACAGCCGUUAAACACCCAACUUUCUGAAGUGUUGACCUCGGAUCAGGUAGGAAUACCCGCUGAACUUAAGCAUAUCAAUAAGCGGAGGA